Molecule: unclassified non-coding RNA, 339 nt
Filed under: soil metagenome
Description: partial contains 5.8S ribosomal RNA, internal transcribed spacer 2, and large subunit ribosomal RNA
Rfam family: 5.8S ribosomal RNA (bases 1-120)
Source: RNAcentral
GAUGAAGAACUUAGCGAAAUGCGAUAAGUAAUGUGAAUUGCAGAAUUCCGUGAAUCAUCGAAUCUUUGAACGCACAUUGCGCCCCCUGGUAUUCCGGGGGGCAUGCCUGUCCGAGCGUCAUUGCAACCCUCAAGCGCGGCUUGUGUGUUGGGCUUCGUCCCCCCGUGGACGUGCCCGAAAGGCAGUGGCGGCGUCCCGAAUGGUGCCCGAGCGUAUGGGAACUCUCUUCCGCUCGAACCGGCCCAUUCGGCGCUGGUCGAACCCCAAUUUUUUUUUACCGGUUGACCUCGGAUCAGGUAGGGAUACCCGCUGAACUUAAGCAUAUCAAUAAGCGGAGGA